GCCAGACAUAUUUCCAGACUCUCCAAGUUUUCCUGAAGUAUUUUCUACUAUUCAGUAUUGUUACCACUCAGAGAGCCAACCACCAAGCCAUAUUGACAUUCAGGAGUCUGCAGCAUGACAGUGCUUUGGUUUUUCUCCAGAGGAACACCAUCCAAACAAAAGUAAUGUUCACUGCUGAAUUGGGGUGAUGGCAGCAGUCACUGAGCUGCCAUGAAAGAAGCCUAACUUCAGGAGAGCCUGGGCUGCCUUGCAACAAUGGACAUUCUACAUGCUGCUGCAGUAAUGUACUCUGUGUCAGCAAAGGCAGGUGGCAAGGGAGGCGCUCUGUGUCAGAAUCUUAAUCUCUUCAUUAAUGAUCGAGGACACUGAGCAAACUGUAAAUUAAUGAAAUUUUGCAGCUGACACUAAACCGAGAGGAGUACAAAAGCACCCGGAGAGAUUAAAAGCAUGGGCAAGGAAGUAACCACAUGAGAUCUGGGUUUGAAAAAUGCAGCCUAAAUCAUCUUGGGAGAAGAAACUGAACACAAAGAUACUUGGUGGGAGCAAGAACCUUAGAAAGCAAUAAUCCUCAAUCAAAUGUUCACAGGAAGAAAUAGAUGAAUUGCCUAGUGGAAAAUGAAGCUGGGUGCAAUUGCUGUCUACAUAUGCAAGAUAUGUUUUCACUGCUAAAAAAAAAUGUUCUUAACUCAUGGUAGCUAACCCAUGUUACCUGGGGUUAAAAUAGAACUGAAGACAGGGAAACUCAGCUUUCCAGUUGGGUUAGCAGCUUGAGUUAAAGAUAAUAGCGAAGUUUUCAGCAUCUACACUGCAUUAUGUGGGCCCAGCCACCCAUAUACCAGAAUUCUUAGUGCCUUCCCAAAAUAUGGUUGUUCUAGCCCUUAGUUUGUUGUGCAGUGUGGGAAAACUUGACUGUCCACAGAACACUGGCCUGGGGGACUGUGGAAUACUUGUGGUGGACUCCCAGAGCACGAGUCCAGUGGAUCUCCAUCUAUACUGCAAAGCAAUAGGGCUCGAAUCCUGGGUGCUGGCUUGACUCAAACUCAACCCUUCUGAGGUUCUGGGAUCCUGGGGCAGUACAAUUUGUAUGUAGACAGAAGGAAGAUUUGGCUUGAGCCUGAGUUCGAACCCUGGGCUAACAGGGUUAGAGCCCCUUUGUAUUCCUCUCAUCCCUUUUCCUGGCAUACAAAGUGUAGUGCUAUCUCACCCUUGGUCUUCCAGAGCCAGAAUUUGUUAUCCCUCCAUCUAUGCUGUGAAGACCAACAUUUCUCCUUGGCACUUGGAGAAGAUCAUAAAGUUAGCAUGGGGGCUUAUGUUUACCCUCUGACAGUAAUGAAUUUAUAUUUUCAUACUGUGUAUAUUGAUGUAUUGUAAAUACACCCAGGACAAUGGGCGGGUGUUUACUGUUUGCUUAUAAACUGAAAGAACAAAACAAUGAAAAAGUGGAUGACGUUACUGGGUUUUGGGAGAUAGGAAGGAGGAAGAGGGGGGAGAGGAUAUUUCCAUUAUACAAAGUAAAAUACAAUCAAUGCAGCUGUCUGAUUUUAAGUUCUGAGAAAAGGGGUCAGAAAAGUUUAGAAGAAAGAUCAUGACUAGCCGAGUGAAGGUCUCACUGAGUGCGUAAUGUCCUAUA
Long non-coding RNA from Mauremys mutica (yellowpond turtle), 1630 nucleotides. RefSeq lists it as uncharacterized. Lineage: Eukaryota; Metazoa; Chordata; Testudines; Geoemydidae. The record is from RefSeq and is a predicted model, not a curated record. The transcript is spliced from 3 exons.